RNAcentral lists this ribosomal RNA (207 nucleotides) under uncultured bacterium. RNAcentral's name for it is "partial 16S ribosomal RNA". It matches the Rfam family "Bacterial small subunit ribosomal RNA", at positions 568 to 774 of the family's 1533-position model. The record is from RNAcentral.
CGUGUAGGCGGCCAAGCAAGUCAGAGGUGAAAGCCCUGGGCUCAACCUGGGAACUGCCUUUGAAACUGUUUGGCUUGAGACCGGAAGAGGAUGGCGGAAUUCCCAGUGUAGAGGUGAAAUUCGUAGAUAUUGGGAAGAACACCGGUGGCGAAGGCGGCCAUCUGGUCCGGUUCUGACGCUGAGGCGCGAAAGCGUGGGGAGCAAACA